GGAGAUGGUGGUGGGUGGGAGCCGCCAACUGGAGGGACCCCAGCUUAGUGCCCUGAGGGGAAGUGAACCCCGACCGGAAGCGCUCUCUGGCUGUGCUGGCUCUUCUCUGCCGCCGCUCUCAUUCCCUGCCCCGUGCCCCGGAGCCUGGUCCCUGAAGAUUGCCCGUCCUGGGCUUCCUUGCACUGUCUUCUGCUUGGGUGUGGCCCAUGGGAGGUACCAGCCAGAAGGUUGAACCAUGGUUUAGAUGGUAAAGAAUUCUCGUGCAAUGCAGGAAACCCAGGUUCAGUCCCUGGGUUGAGAAGAUCCCCUGGAGAAGAGAAUGGCUACCCCCUCUUGUAUUCUUGUCUGGAGAAUCCCAUUGACAGAGGAGCCUGGUGGGCUACAGUCCAUGGGGUCACAAAGAGUCGGACACGACUAAGUGACUAACACACACCACCUCUUCAUUAAUACACUCAAGUCCUAACCCACAGCAGCUCAGAAUGUGACUUUAUUUGGAGAUAGGGUCUUUACCGAGAUCAUCAAGUUAAAAUGAGGUAUUAGGGUGGGCCUUAACCCAACAUGACCAAUGUCUUUAUAAAAGGGGAAAUUUGGAGUCAGAGCCCCACACCAGAGGGAUGUCACAUGGAAGAUGAAGGCAGAGAUCACUGAUGCUUCUACAAGCCAAGAAACACCAAAGAUCGCCAGCAAACCACCAGGAGCUGGGAGAGAGGCCUGGAACAGAUUCUGCCUUAAAGCCUCAGAAGAAACCCACCCUGCUGACACCUUGAUCUUGGGCUCCUGACUUCUGGGAGGAUGUGACAAUACAUUUGUGUUGUUUAAGCCCCUCAGUCUAUGGUACUUUGUUUUGGCAGGCCUCGCAAACCAAACCAAUAGAACCUGGAGUUCUCAAUUCUCUAUUUUCCUCCAUCUUUGUAGAGAUAGUUCCUCCUUUUCUCUCUCCUUCUCCCUCUGCCCUUUCUGAUCAUAUUGGAUUAAACCAGGCUCUGGAGCCAGACUGUGUUCGACUCAAAGCUCUGUUAUUUACUAGUUGUAUGUCUCUAACCAUUGGGACACAGCCUGUGUUUCUUCAUCUGUAAAAUGGGAAUAAUAAGAGUAAUACUGACCUCAUCAAAUACGUGAAAGAACUGGUGCCCAGCCGGCCUUGACAAUGAGAAGGGUGCUGUCCUUAUGCCUGAUCUGAGUCUGCGGACUCCAAGGAUACUGAGGUGGACACCCCAACUUCACCCUGUGGUGAAGUUCCUGUUCAACCUUAUCAGACCUGGGAGUUUACCAUCUAACUGGAGACAUAAAACAUUUGUAGGGAAUAGUUCACAGUGCAAGGCAUUAUGUGAUUAUAGGAUCUUUGCACUGGUUCAGUCAAGUGGCUCUUGAUCCCAGCAGCACAUGAGAUCCCCAGGGUGUGCUUUGAAAAUAGUCCACUGCCUGGGCCCUGUCCCCAGAGCAGCUACACAGAAUUUAGGAACCUCAAGUGAAGUGAUGCAUCUGUCUGUCCUUCCGUGUCCUAUUGGCAAAGUUAGGGGGAGACUUGGAUGGAUGUCAAGGGCUAUGGUGAGAAUGCAUGAGAUGAGUUCUUACGUGUAAAUGCUUUUCUCUUGGUGCCUGCCCCAGAAAAAACACUGAGUAACUGUGAGCGCCCUUUGGUGAAGAAAUGUUCGAACAUUCUCCCCAGCAGAUGCUCCAGCUUUACAGGGUGCUUGCAGAUUCCUUUUGCUUGAAGGACUGAGAAUAGCUUUCCCCGUCAUCCCUCUCUCCUGAAGGCCAGGGCAGUUUGGAGGGCUUAGAACCAGAGCUCCUUGUUGAGAAGGAGGAUAGAUUGGCUGGGGGACCUCGUCCCGGGGAAUGCAGGAGAAGAGCUGUGCUUGCCGUGUGAGGGCCUCCAUGCUGUCAGUCGUCAAAGCUGCACAGAGCGCUUUGAAUCUUCACGUUAAGUCUUGCAUCACAUCUUCUGCUUUUAUCUCCUUCCUUCUCCUCGCUUCCUAUGCUUCUCUUUUGUCUCGCCUCAUCCUCAGCCAGUGUGUUUAGGGUCCAAGGUCUGGGCUCCUAUGCCAGCCCUGCCAUAAAUAGCUGUCCAAUGGUAGGUGAGCUUCUCAACGUCUCUCAGCUUUGUCUUCCUUAGCCUUAUGAAUAAAAAUGAAAGUUCCUUCUUCAGCGCCUCUGUUUGCUAUUUAAAGGGAAAGCAAAGAAGCACUUUCAUCACAGCAGAAAGUGCUCAAGUGGCCUAACUCUGAUGGUGACAUACAGAGUCAAAGGCUGAUCUUGGUGGCUGGGUCUCAGAGCCCAUCUCAGGAUGGGGUGGUGUGAGCUUGGCUAAGGUGACCAGGGCAGCACGGAGCCCUGAGAAG
Molecule: long non-coding RNA, 2342 nt
Filed under: Capra hircus (goat)
Lineage: Eukaryota; Metazoa; Chordata; Mammalia; Artiodactyla; Bovidae
Description: lncRNA (ENSCHIG00000003653.1)
Source: RNAcentral